CCGAUUUCUCUGCCGCUUGUGAGCAGACAGCUUGUCUCCUGAAAAUCGACCACCAUACCUUCAAUCCUGUCCCUGGCUGCCCGUCACUCCCCGAGAAAGCGUUCGCUUUGAAAACGAAAGCGGCCCUCAUUAACUACUGCCCAGGCUACUCUGAAACUGAGAGAAAUGGUACUCUGGAAAUGACACGAGAAAUCAGAAACAUCUGCCUGAAUCAAACCUCACAAAUUCUAGGAUUGUGGCUUUCCUGCAUUCAAUCUUGAAGAAAAAAUUAGCUUUUGGAUUAUAUUAUGAAAAUAUAUAUCUUGUUUUUAGUAGAUAUAAUACUAAGGGUGUGACACUUAAAAGAACACUAAUGUUUAUUCUUUAAUUAUAGAAGGGAUUCUUAACUUAUUUUUGGCAUAUCGUUGUUUAGUGUAGGCGCUUUAAAUGGAAAAUGAGCAUUACCCCUUUAAUGGAAAUAACCGUGCUGUUAAUGAUUGGCUUCGGCUUCUGAGCAGUCUUUCUCACCUCACCUGAGACACUUUACUCUAGGGCAAACCUAACUGUAGUAGGAAGAAAAUCAAAAGUAGAAAAACAGUUGAAACCAAUGACAGGAUCUAUACUCCAUUUAAA
RNAcentral lists this long non-coding RNA (612 nucleotides) under Rattus norvegicus (Norway rat). RNAcentral describes it as "long non-coding RNA NONRATT013297". Lineage: Eukaryota; Metazoa; Chordata; Mammalia; Rodentia; Muridae. The record is from RNAcentral.